This 431-nucleotide ribosomal RNA is filed under the name uncultured bacterium. Its description in RNAcentral is "partial 16S ribosomal RNA". It matches the Rfam family "Bacterial small subunit ribosomal RNA", at positions 29 to 507 of the family's 1533-position model. The record is from RNAcentral.
AACGAACGCUGGCGGCAGGCUUAACACAUGCAAGUCGAACGCCCCGCAAGGGGAGUGGCAGACGGGUGAGUAACGCGUGGGAACAUACCCUUUUCUACGGAAUAGCUCUGGGAAACUGGAAUUAAUACCGUAUACGCCCUACGGGGGAAAGAUUUAUCGGGGAAGGAUUGGCCCGCGUUGGAUUAGCUAGUUGGUGGGGUAAAGGCCUACCAAGGCGACGAUCCAUAGCUGGUCUGAGAGGAUGAUCAGCCACAUUGGGACUGAGACACGGCCCAAACUCCUACGGGAGGCAGCAGUGGGGAAUAUUGGACAAUGGGCGCAAGCCUGAUCCAGCCAUGCCGCGUGAGUGAUGAAGGCCUUAGGGUUGUAAAGCUCGUUAACCGAUGAAGAUAAUGACGGUAGUCGGAGAAGAAGCCCCGGCUAACUUCGUG